AAGCUUUUACAGAUCAAUUUCUCUAGGAAUUGUGAUUUAGGUAUGGUAAUUUUCAUCCAUGGGUAGCUUUCAUCCAUGGAGUCCUCUCAAAAUCUCCAAUUUCAAAAGAUAGAAAUCCCCAAUUGUUAGGGUUUGAUUCCAAAGUCAUGGGUUCCUUUCAAACUUGAUUUUAAAAUGAUUGAAUUGAGUUAUAUUAAGCAUGAAUUGAUGAUUUCCUAUGGUUUUUAUGAUGUAAUCCCCAAGAACCCAUGUGAUUCCCAUAUUUCUCAAAGUUGAUGAUAUGAUGUGGGUCUUUGUUGAUGAAAGAGGAAUUUUAUGAAUUAAUGAAUGAGGUGAUAAAAUCACAUGGAUUAUAAUGAUAUCCAUGUAUAAUGCUUAAAUUCUAGAGGUGUUGAUUGAAAGUAAGUUUUGAACCUGAAGGAGG
This 424-nucleotide long non-coding RNA is filed under the name Solanum tuberosum (potato). RNAcentral's name for it is "long non-coding RNA (STUB_LNC008202)". Lineage: Eukaryota; Viridiplantae; Streptophyta; Magnoliopsida; Solanales; Solanaceae. The record is from RNAcentral.